GUAGUAUUCCCUCCGUCCCAAAAUUCUUGUCUUACAUUUGUUUAGAUACGGAUGUAUCUAACACUAAAAUGUAACUAGAUACAUCCAUAUUUAGACAAAUUUAAGACAAGAAUUUUGGGAUGGAGGGAGUACAAA
Triticum aestivum (bread wheat) is the source of this 135-nucleotide non-coding RNA. The record is from Rfam. NCBI's taxonomy places the organism in Eukaryota, Viridiplantae, Streptophyta, Magnoliopsida, Poales, Poaceae.